Molecule: ribosomal RNA, 292 nt
Filed under: uncultured bacterium
Lineage: Bacteria
Description: partial 16S ribosomal RNA
Source: RNAcentral
GGACUACUAGGGUAUCUAAUCCCGUUCGCUCCCCAUGCUGUCGUGUCUGAAUGUCAGAACCGGGCCAGGACGCCGCCUUCGCCUCAGGGGUUCCUCCGGAUCUCUACGCAUUUCACCACUACACCCGGAAUUCCACGUCCCUCUCCCGUUCUCUAGACCAGCAGUCUGGCAUAACCUCUCUAGGUUAAGCCUACAGAUUUCAUACACCACUUGCUGACCCAUCUGCACACGCUUUACGCCCAGUAAAUCCGGAUAACGCUCGCCACCUACGUUUUACCGCGGCUGCUGGCAC